AUUCGCCUUUUUUCCAAAAUUCUGGGGACCAAAACGCACGCAGGCGGUUUGUUAACCAGAUGUGGAUUUAAAAGGGAGAAGCGGGGAACUGCAUCUGAACUGGCCGCAAGAAAAAGCAAAAGAGGGGGGCAGAAUUCCAGGUGAAGCGGCGAAAUGCGGAGGAGAUCUGGAGGAAUACCGUUGCUCAAGGCGGCCCCCUGGACGAAGACUGACGCUCAGGUGCGAAAGCGUGGGGCAUCACAGGAUUAAAUACCCUGGUGAUCCACGCCCUAAACGAUGUCCACUUGGAGGUCGUGCCCUUGAGGCGUGGCUUCCGGAGCUAACUCGUUAAGUCGACCGCCUGGGGAGUACGGCCGCAAGGUUAAAACUGAAAUGAAUUGACUGGGGCCCGCCAAGCGGUGGAGCUUGAGUUCUAGUUCGAUGCAACGCGAACAACCCUACCUGCUCUUGACUCCAUGGAAGUUUUCGAGAUGAUAAGGUGCCUUCCGGAACCGUGAGACUGUUUUGCAUGCCUGU
This 516-nucleotide ribosomal RNA is filed under the name uncultured Nitrobacter sp. Its description in RNAcentral is "bacterial SSU rRNA". It matches the Rfam family "Bacterial small subunit ribosomal RNA", at positions 532 to 1052 of the family's 1533-position model. Lineage: Bacteria; Pseudomonadati; Pseudomonadota; Alphaproteobacteria; Hyphomicrobiales; Nitrobacteraceae. The record is from RNAcentral.